UUUGGGGGCGAUAGCGAAGAGGUCACACCCGUUCCCAUGCCGAACACGGAAGUUAAGCUCUUCAGCGCCGAUGGUAGUCGGGGGUUUCCCCCUGUGAGAGUAGGACGCCGCCAAGC
RNAcentral lists this ribosomal RNA (116 nucleotides) under Bacillus velezensis. The record is from RNAcentral. Lineage: Bacteria; Bacillati; Bacillota; Bacilli; Caryophanales; Bacillaceae.